AAGGCUUGCGGUGGAUACCUAGGUACCCAGAGACGAGGAAGGGCGUAGCAAGCGACGAAAUGCUUCGGGGAGUUGAAAAUAAGCAUAGAUCCGGAGAUUCCCAAAUAGGUCAACCUUUUGAACUGCCUGCUGAAUCCAUGAGCAGGCAAGAGACA
RNAcentral lists this ribosomal RNA (155 nucleotides) under Oryza glaberrima (African rice). RNAcentral's name for it is "rRNA 5_8S_rRNA". It matches the Rfam family "Bacterial large subunit ribosomal RNA", at positions 14 to 182 of the family's 2925-position model. The record is from RNAcentral. Lineage: Eukaryota; Viridiplantae; Streptophyta; Magnoliopsida; Poales; Poaceae. RNAcentral also lists the same sequence under 1 other name.